This 329-nucleotide unclassified non-coding RNA is filed under the name soil metagenome. RNAcentral's name for it is "partial contains 5.8S ribosomal RNA, internal transcribed spacer 2, and large subunit ribosomal RNA". The stretch from base 1 to 120 matches the Rfam family "5.8S ribosomal RNA", at positions 35 to 154 of the family's 154-position model. The record is from RNAcentral.
GAUGAAGAACGUAGCGAAAUGCGAUAAGUACUGUGAAUUGCAGAAUUCAGUGAAUCAUCGAAUCUUUGAACGCACAUUGCGCCCCUUGGUAUCCCGAGGGGCAUGCCUGUUCGAGCGUCAUUUCACCACUCAAGCCUGGCUUGGUGUUGGGCGACGUCCUCUUUGGGGACGCGCCUCGAAACGCUCGGCGGCGUGGCACCGGCUUUAAGCGUAGCAGAAUCUUUCGCUUUGGAAGUCGGGGCCCCGUCUGCCGGAAGACCUGCUCGCAAGGUUGACCUCGGAUCAGGCAGGGAUACCCGCUGAACUUAAGCAUAUCAAUAAGCGGAGGA